This 324-nucleotide unclassified non-coding RNA is filed under the name uncultured Paraglomerales. Its description in RNAcentral is "sequence contains ITS2". The record is from RNAcentral. Lineage: Eukaryota; Fungi; Glomeromycota; Glomeromycetes; Paraglomerales.
AACGCAAAUUGCGCCUUCUUUCGGAAGGCAUGUCUGUUUGAGGGCACCAUUUAACAAAUAAUGUGCGCGUCGUUUACGGACGACGUGCGCACGUUGAUGAGCUUUUCCGAAAAAACCAGGUUUUUUUGGUGGCGCAUAAUGAACAGCGUGGGCUUUUUCUUCGAUUCUCGUGUAGUAAAUGUUCAACGCUUGGGUUGAGAAAAAGUGCGUGCCGCGCAAUGGGUGUGGCGAAUUUUACCCCUGCCCCAAUGCCACUCUUUCCCUGCGAAAGAACAAUCUUUUAUUUAGGGCCUCAAAUCAGACAAGAGUACCCGCUGAACUUAA